Molecule: ribosomal RNA, 453 nt
Filed under: uncultured Streptococcus sp.
Lineage: Bacteria; Bacillati; Bacillota; Bacilli; Lactobacillales; Streptococcaceae
Description: bacterial SSU rRNA
Rfam family: Bacterial small subunit ribosomal RNA
Source: RNAcentral
AAGCGGUGGAGCAUGUGGUUAAUCGAAGCAACGCGAAGAACCUUACCAGGUCUUGACAUCCCGAUGCUAUUUCUAGAGAUAGAAAGUUACUUCGGUACAUCGGUGACAGGUGGUGCAUUGGUUGUCGUCAGCUCGUGUCGUGAGAUGUUGGGUUAAGUCCCGCAACGAGCGCAACCCCUAUUGUUAGUUGCCAUCAUUCAGUUGGGCACUCUAGCGAGACUGCCGGUAAUAAACCGGAGGAAGGUGGGGAUGACGUCAAAUCAUCAUGCCCCUUAUGACCUGGGCUACACACGUGCUACAAUGGUUGGUACAACGAGUUGCGAGUCGGUGACGGCGAGCUAAUCUCUUAAAGCCAAUCUCAGUUCGGAUUGUAGGCUGCAACUCGCCUACAUGAAGUCGGAAUCGCUAGUAAUCGCGGAUCAGCACGCCGCGGUGAAUACGUUCCCGGGCCUU